UGGCCUCACCCUUCCCUUCUGCUACCUACAAAAGCCCCCUGACAUAGCACUCUUGUCAUACUGAGACUAAGGUAGAAAAAGACACUUCCAAAGGGUGUCAAUGACAAGAGAGAAAUAGACAUAGAGUGGUCACUUCAUUUACCAACCCUGGAACCGCAGACCUCUGGGCUUCCUGGCCCAUUUCUGCCUCGGUUGCCUGCCUCCAACCACAAUCCAGUUUUUUGGCUCCCAGAGACAGACAUGCCCAGAUCUGAACACCACCCACCUGGAUAAAGAAAAUGGGUACGGCCAAGACCAUAGACCUAGUGAUUGUCAGAUGAACAAUUAGACCCACAGAACCAUCCAAGCUACAGAGGACGCAUUCUGCCUUCCCUUGGAUCCUGUGGUUUGAGGAUGGAGGUCUAGGACCGUGGCAGGCUUUUUGUCCCAUGAGGGAAGGCCAUGGAGCUGAGGAAGGGGAAGAACACACACACCUAAUGGAAUCUCGAGAGAAAGUUCAGACAUCAAAAGACAGAAGCGACAGAGACCCAGAUGGAGUCUCACCCAGCCUGGAGUACAGUAGUAUGAUCUGCAACCUUUGCCUCCCAGGUUCAGGCGAUUCUCCUGUCUCAGCCUCCGGAGUAUCUGGGAUUACAGGCACGUGCCACCACGCCCGGCUAAUUUUUUGUAUUUUUAGUAGAGAUGGGUUUCACCGUGUUAGCCAGGAUGGUCUCGAACUCCUGACCUCGUGAUCUACCCGCCUUGGCCUCCCAAAGUGCUGGGAUUACAGGCAUGAGCUACCGUGCUCGGCCAUGCCUGGCUAAUUUAUAUAUACAUAUAUAUAUAUAUAUAUAUUUUUUUUUUUUUUUUUUUUUUUUUGAGACAGAGUCUUGCUCUGUCACCCAGGUUGGAGUGCAGUGGCAUGAUCUCGGCUCACUGCAAGCUCGCCUCCCAGGUUCACGCCAUUCUCCUGCCUCAGCCUCCUGAGUAGCUGGGACUACAGGCGCCCGCAUGACGCCCGGCUAAUUUUUUGUAUUUUUAGUAGAGACGGGGUUUCACUGUGUUAGCCAGGAUGGUCUCGAUCUCCUGACCUCGUGAUCUGCCCACCUCAGCCUCCGAAAGUGCUGGGAUUACAGACAUGAGCCACCGCACCCAGCCUUAUAUAUAUAUUUUUUAUUAGUGAAGAGGUUUCGCCAUAUUGGCCAGACUGGUCUCGAACUCCUGACCUCAGGUGAUCCACCCACCUCGGCCUCCCAAAGUGCUGGGAUUACAGGUGGGAGCCACCGCACCCUGCCUAAAAUGCAAAAGAUUUUGAAUGGCGAGAAUGGCGACAUGAUGCCACAAGUGGAAAAUUCCACACCUGGCUGCAUGUAAUGGGUUGAAGUCAAAAUGCAGUCAAAAACUUUGUUUCAUGUACAAAAUUAUUAAAAACAUUGUAUAAAAUCACCUUCAGACUAUGUGUAUGUGAAACCUAAGUGAAUUUAAUGGCUAGACUUCAGUUGCAUUCCCAAGAUCUCUCAUUAUGUAUAUGCAAAUAUUUUGAAAUUCAACCUGGUUCCACACAUUUUAGAUAAGGGAUACUCAAGC
RNAcentral lists this long non-coding RNA (1566 nucleotides) under Homo sapiens (human). Its description in RNAcentral is "HSALNT0378073". Lineage: Eukaryota; Metazoa; Chordata; Mammalia; Primates; Hominidae. The record is from RNAcentral.